RNAcentral lists this ribosomal RNA (507 nucleotides) under uncultured bacterium. Its description in RNAcentral is "partial 16S ribosomal RNA". It matches the Rfam family "Bacterial small subunit ribosomal RNA", at positions 28 to 507 of the family's 1533-position model. The record is from RNAcentral.
GACGAACGCUGGCGGCGUGCCUAAUACAUGCAAGUCGAACGCAUUUUCUUUCACCGUAGCUUGCUACACCGAACGAAAAUGAGUGGCGAACGGGUGAGUAACACGUCGGUAACCUGCCCAUCAACUUGGGAUAACACUUGGUAACAGGUGCUAAUACCGCAUAAUUCCAUUUACCGCAUGGUAGAUCGGUGUAAGUCGCUUUUGAGUCUCUGUUGGCUGGACCCGCGGUGGAUUAGCUGGUUGGUGGGGUAACGGCCUACCAAGGCUGCGAUGCAUAACCGGCCUGGGGAGGUGGUCGGCCCACAUUGGAACGAGACCACGGUCAAGACUCUACGGGAGGCAGCCGUAAGGGAUCCUCGGGAAAGGGCCCAAGGCUUAACGGGCCACGCCGCGGGGGGUAAGGAGGGUUUCGGGUCGUAAAAACCUGUUUUUUGGGAAGAAAAAAGAGUGUAGGUGAAAGUGCACGUCUUGACGGUACCUAAUCAGAAAGCCACGGCUAACUACGUG